RNAcentral lists this long non-coding RNA (2179 nucleotides) under Gossypium barbadense (sea-island cotton). Its description in RNAcentral is "long non-coding RNA (GBAR_LNC002678)". The record is from RNAcentral. Lineage: Eukaryota; Viridiplantae; Streptophyta; Magnoliopsida; Malvales; Malvaceae.
UGGAUUGGUUCUAAAGUACUAUUUGGUGAUUGACGUUUCAACUAGUAAUAGCUUUUUGUAAGAUCAAUAUUUUAUACUACUUGAAACGAUACGUAUACUUGCGUGUGCAAUUUUCGAUCAACAAUAAUUUGUUUAGCAUAAGGAAACCACUAAAAGAGCCCAAAUCUGAUACCAAAUGAUAAGAGAAAUGGAGCAAGAUUGAAUUCAAGUUGUUUGGACAAUGAAAAAGCCGAAUCGAAGAAGAAAAACUCUGUCUUGGAGAAUAAGCAACCUGAAACGCAAAAAAUAAACUCAUAGGAGUUAUAUGAAAUCGGCAAUAAUAAAACAACUAAAACAAGAAAUUUAAGAACAAAGAUUAAACAUCCAAAACAAUAAAGAAAGAAAGAAAGAAAAAGGAAAUUAAAAGAUGAAUGAUGAAUCGAAUAAACUGAUAGCAGGGUAAAUGUUUUAUUGAACCCUUCGAGGAAGAUUUCCCGACAAGCUCAACCAAUGGGUCUAACCAACCCGCUAAAGUCGAACUCUAGUAAAUUGGAAGGUGAAGUGACUCAUAGAAAAUUUACUUCUAAGAAGAAUGAAAGAGAAAUCUCACAAAAGAGUUAAAAUUUUUAUUAAUGAAUGAAUGAUGUUUAAUGAAUAAUGAAGAGACUUUUAUAUAGGCUAAUUAAUUACAUCCAAAUGAAACUCUUAAGAAUAAUGAUACUCUAAUUAAUCUAAACAAAAAGUAGUUUUAGUGGAACUAAACUUUCUUGUUAACUAAAAAACAUAAAACUCCUAAACAACUUUAAAUAUUUAAAAUUAUCCUAAAAUUUAGAAUAAAUAAAUAAUAAAAUAUAAAACCUAAUAAAUACAAUAUUGAUGUCAUAUAUAAUUAAAACUAAGCCUUAAAAUCAAAUUCAAGAUGAUUUAAACUCGAAUUAAAACUCGAAACUCGUAAUUUUCAUAAUAAUCUAGCCAAAAAAUUAUACUAGUAUAGUCUUCACUAAACAUUCAUAACUUGAGCUCUCGAACUCUAAAUCGAGUGAUUCAAAGUAUAUUUUGAGGUUAAGAGAUAGAUCUUCGAUCGAUAUGUAGACAUAUUGACCUAGAAAGGCUUAGAUCCCUUUUAAAAAUACACCGCAAGUCAAUUGAUUAUAGCAUGGGUUAGGCAUGUGACCUUGAUUGGACUCAAGUGUAAAGCCUAAACAUGUUAACAUUUUCCACGUGAACUUGUCAUUAGGAAUUAAGCUCCUAAGCCCAUGAACAAACUUAGACCCUUCUAAUUGAUCCUCGCUCCUUGGUGUUUGGAUGGUUUUUGGAAUACAUAUUAAAAAAUCAUAGUUAUUUGAACGAAAUCAAAUUUUAUUUUUUAUUUAAUUUAUAAAUAAUUUUAAUUUUUUAUGAGGUAAAAAUAUAUUUCUAUAUAAAAAAUUAUUUUUUAAAAAAUACUAUAUAAAAUUUAUUUUUUUUAUUUACUCAAAAAUAACUUUUUAAAAAUAUUUAUGAAAAAAGGACUCAUCAAAUAGUGUUCAAAAGUUAUGAAAUAAAUCUUAUUUUGUUAAAAUAAAUCCAAAACUCAAAAUCCAAAAUUAGUAUGAAAAAAUUAAAAAUUAUAUUAAAUCGAAUCAAAUAAUUAUGGAUGAUUUAAAAAUUUUAAAAAAUUCAAUGGAACCAAAUCCAACUCACCAGAAACUCACAUGGUUUUGAUUCCAAAAGUAAUAGUUGGGCCAAAGCCUAAUGUCACCAUCCACAGUACAGCUGAUUGCUUCUCAAGGUCAUGUUAUCAUCUUCUGAUGAGUAGGUAUUAUAUGGAAAUGAUGGCCUUCCAAGGUUGCAAGCAUGUUUAGAGCAUGAAAGAAAAUGGGAAAGUAACAAAUCUGAAAUCAUGUCCCUCUACCGGUUUGGGUUGCUUGGGGAGAGCGUCAUGCACAUGCAGGAUGGUAGGUGUUGGCAAUGUUCAUUCACCGAACUGAGAUUGGGAAAAAAGCAUGAAUGACCCACAUUCCAGUCCUUUCACUUUCACCCCCGCAUGGGGCUAAGGACAUCGCCUUAUCCCUCAAUUACACAAUGGAAAGGUCCCAAUCUCACUCUAUUUUGAUUUUGCAUGCAGGCCCAUUUUGAAAAAAGACGCUCAACCCUCCAGGUUUAGGGUCAAAGACAGCUACAGAGCUUGUCUUUUUCUCCAAAAUGUCUCCAACAUGUG